UGUAUGUGUAUAUGUGCAUGUGCGGGAGAGGUGAAUAUGACGUCACCUAGCUACUCAGUCUCUGGUAUCAGAACUCUGCUUUUGCCAACUGGCAGUCAAGCACCUCUCCUUUGUCUCCAGCUUCCAUCCACUUCCCGCUUCUACACUGUUGGCAAUCAAGCUGUCAGCCUGCCAGGUGGCAUCUCCCUCCCAAGUUUUAUCUCAGAAUUGGUUGUGUUUCCAAACUCCUUACUUCUGAGGGCCCUGUGGCUUUGACCUGCUCAGACCCUCUGGGGGAGGGUCUUGCCUGAGCAAUGACUGGGUGCCAGCCCACCCUCAGGAACAUUUGUGGGACAGCACUGCUGCCAAUGCCCAGAGACUACAGCUGAUGCCAGCCUGCCCCAGAAAAAGUUCAUGUGAUCGUGUAGCAGCAGCGUUUCAGGGAUUAUGGUAAAUUACAACACACAUCUGGUGCUAGGCUUCACCUCCCCUUAACAUCCUUUUUUCCAACACCAGCAAAUGUGGCUGUUCUCUGGAGUCCACUGGGACCUUUGCCUGUGGGGAGGCCACACAGCCUCUACCAAAUGUCCUCUCUGCAGGGGAAUUGCCUCUCCCCCGGUGGCCCAAGGGCCUCUUGGAUCUCGCUGUCUGUUCCUGAGGAUCCACCCUUCCCACCGGAGCACCACCAGGCUGGCUCGAGUUGGUGAGAAGGAAGUGAGUGUCAUAUGCAGGAGGACCUGGUGCACAGGUGGAAGGACUGGCUGACAUGCACGUGGAGAGUUCAUCUCUGAUGAUAGGCUCAAGUGGCUGCUGUUGAGAUGGGCAAGUUCAUGAAACCUGGGAAGGUGGUCCUGGUCCUGGCCAUAAGUUACUCCAGAUGCAAAGUAGUCAUCAUGAAGAACGUUGAUGAUGGCACCUCAGACCAUCCUUAAACCAUGCUCUGGUGGCUGGAAUUGACCACUCUCCGUGCAACAUGACAGCUGCCAUGGGCAAGAAGAAAAUUGCCAAGAGGUCAAAGAUCAAGUCUUUUGUGAAAGUGUGAUACCAUAACUACUUUUUAUUAACCAAUGUCUUGACCCUCCAGCAACUGGAUGCAGCACACAGUGUGCUUUCUGAGGUCCCUGUUAGAGCACAUCACUGGUCACUCUCCCAGGAAACAGGGUGGGGAUGUUAGUGACACAGCAGUUGGGCAGUGAGUUUGGGAAACACUUUGGGAUUUACACAAGGAUGUAGGAGAAAGAAGAGAGAGGAAAAAGAGGAAGAAGUAGGUGAAGCAGAAAGGAACAAGUAGAAGAGGAGGGAGAGAAGGCAAAGAAGGAGGAAGAGGAAAUGAAGGAGACAAGUGGGGAUCAGUCACGAUCCUUAUCCUCAUGUACAUUCAAUUAGCCCAUAACAUCUGUCCUCCUUACGACUGACAAGGUAGGGGAUUGUUGGGGAGGAAGACCUUCCUCUGUCCUAUGGUCCUUCUAACUGGACUUAGAAUCAAAUUGACAUGAGACAGAUUAACAGGAGAAAAUCAAAUUUAAUGUGUGUAUGUACGGGGAAUCCACACAGACAUGAAAUUCUGAAGAUAAUGAACAACAUGAAGCCUACAUGAGCUAAGAACAAAGCUAAGGGCCUGAGGCCACAAAGGGGAGGAAAGUCAUUAGCCCAGAAGGUGAGAAGAGAUGCUUGGAAAAACAAGAUUGUUCUAUCGUGCAGUGGAGUUCCCUUGGUAAAAAGGGGUCUCGGUUAGUACUUCUCUUUCUGUUGCAGGCUCUCCUUUCCAGUGUAAAUUUAGGCAGUUAUGGGGGAGGCAGAAAGCCUUUCUGGUAUCUGCUGGGUUUUUAUUACUUUUAACUCGAAAUGAUCUUUAUACCAAAGUGGCGCAUUUUGGCAUGUCUCAUCCUGUACCCCUUCAGGAUGGUCACUUGUUCUCAGGCUGAGGAUGCCCUCAGGUGACUGCCACCCCUAGACUUGCUUUGAUUUUAAAAUGAACUACCCCUCCCUAUUUUCAUUUUUUAAGAGUUAAGAAUUCAUAAGCCAAGAAGGUAGCAUCUUGUACAAUACAUGGUUUUUGUUCAACACUCUCCCUACCCUCCUACCUAUUACAGACUUUUUCGCUCAAAUGGGAAAGGACAAGGGGUCUUGUUUUGGUGCUGUGCCAGCACCAACCUGGGCAGGAGGUAUUUGCUGAUUCUUCCGUACUGGACACCACUGGGAGCUCCUGAGAAAGACCAAAAGAUUUUAUUAAAUACACACACAUUUAUGGCAACAUUCCUUCUCUCA
This is a long non-coding RNA of Herpailurus yagouaroundi (jaguarundi), 2247 nucleotides long. RefSeq lists it as uncharacterized. The transcript has 3 exons. NCBI's taxonomy places the organism in Eukaryota, Metazoa, Chordata, Mammalia, Carnivora, Felidae. The record is from RefSeq and is a predicted model, not a curated record.